This 253-nucleotide ribosomal RNA is filed under the name uncultured bacterium. RNAcentral describes it as "partial 16S ribosomal RNA". It matches the Rfam family "Bacterial small subunit ribosomal RNA", at positions 524 to 776 of the family's 1533-position model. The record is from RNAcentral.
UACGUAGGGUGCGAGCGUUGUCCGGAAUUAUUGGGCGUAAAGAGCUUGUAGGCGGUCUGUCGCGUCUGCUGUGAAAAUCCGGGGCUCAACCCCGGACUUGCAGUGGGUACGGGCAGACUAGAGUGUGGUAGGGGAGACUGGAAUUCCUGGUGUAGCGGUGGAAUGCGCAGAUAUCAGGAGGAACACCGAUGGCGAAGGCAGAUCUCUGGGCCGUAACUGACGCUGAGGAGCGAAAGCAUGGGGAGCGAACAGG